CUCAAAUUUGAAAUCUGGCCCUUGGGUCCGAAUUGUAAUUUGUAGAGGAUGUUUUUGGUGCGGUAUCUUCCGAGUUCCUUGGAACAGGACGCCUUAGAGGGUGAGAGCCCCGUACGGUUGAAUGCCUAGCCUUUGUAAAACUCCUUCGACGAGUCGAGUAGUUUGGGAAUGCUGCUCUAAAUGGGAGGUAAAUUUCUUCUAAAGCUAAAUACCGGCCAGAGACCGAUAGCGCACAAGUAGAGUGAUCGAAAGAUGAAAAGCACUUUGAAAAGAGGGUUAAAUAGCACGUGAAAUUGUUGAAAGGGAAGGAUUUAUGACCAGACUUUUUCUAGGCGAAUCAUCCGGUGUUCUCACCGGUGCACUUCGUUUAGUUUAGGCCAGCAUCGAUUUUCGGGGCGGGAUAAAAGCUUCAGGAAUGUGGCUCCCUCGGGAGUGUUAUAGCCUGUUGUAUAAUACCGCCCUGGGGAUCGAGGUACGCGCUUCUGCAAGGAUGCUGGCGUAAUGGUUAUCAAUCACCCGUCUUGAAACACGGACCAAGGAGUCGAACAUUUGUGCGAGUGUUUGGGUGUUAAACCCUCACGCGUAAUGAAAGUGAACGGAGGUGAGAGCCCUUUACGGGGUGCAUCAUCGACCGAUCCUGAUGUCUUCGGAUGGAUUUGAGUAAGAGCAUAAAUGUUCGGACCCGAAAGAUGGUGAACUAUGCGUGGAUAGGGUGAAGCCAGAGGAAACUCUGGUGGAGGCUCGCAGCGGUUCUGACGUGCAAAUCGAUCGUCAAAUCUGCGCAUGGGGGCGAAAGACUAAU
This 802-nucleotide ribosomal RNA is filed under the name Seimatosporium vitis. RNAcentral's name for it is "eukaryotic LSU rRNA". It matches the Rfam family "Eukaryotic large subunit ribosomal RNA", at positions 108 to 935 of the family's 3401-position model. The record is from RNAcentral. Lineage: Eukaryota; Fungi; Ascomycota; Sordariomycetes; Amphisphaeriales; Sporocadaceae.